RNAcentral lists this ribosomal RNA (433 nucleotides) under uncultured bacterium. Its description in RNAcentral is "partial 16S ribosomal RNA". It matches the Rfam family "Bacterial small subunit ribosomal RNA", at positions 29 to 507 of the family's 1533-position model. The record is from RNAcentral.
AACGAACGCUGGCGGCAUGCCUAACACAUGCAAGUCGAACGAGACCUUCGGGUCUAGUGGCGCACGGGUGCGUAACGCGUGGGAACCUGCCCUUAGGUUCGGAAUAACUCCCCGAAAGGGGUGCUAAUACCGGAUAAUGUCUUCGGACCAAAGAUUUAUCGCCUUUGGAUGGGCCCGCGUUGGAUUAGCUAGUUGGGAGGGUAAAAGCCUACCAAGGCGACGAUCCAUAGCUGGUCUGAGAGGAUGACCAGCCACACUGGGACUGAGACACGGCCCAGACUCCUACGGGAGGCAGCAGUGGGGAAUAUUGGACAAUGGGCGAAAGCCUGAUCCAGCAAUGCCGCGUGAGUGAUGAAGGCCUUAGGGUUGUAAAGCUCUUUUACCCGGGAUGAUAAUGACAGUACCGGGAGAAUAAGCUCCGGCUAACUCCGUG